Molecule: ribosomal RNA, 500 nt
Filed under: uncultured bacterium
Lineage: Bacteria
Description: partial 16S ribosomal RNA
Rfam family: Bacterial small subunit ribosomal RNA
Source: RNAcentral
AUUGAACGCUGGCGGAAUGCCUUACACAUGCAAGUCGAACGGCAGCACGGACUUCGGUCUGGUGGCGAGUGGCGAACGGGUGAGUAAUGUAUCGGAACGUGCCCAGUCGUGGGGGAUAACGUAGUGAAAAUUACGCUAAUACCGCAUACGAUCUAUGGAUGAAAGCGGGGGAUCGCAAGACCUCGCGCGAUUGGAGCGGCCGAUAUCAGAUUAGGUAGUUGGUGGGGUAAAGGCCCACCAAGCCAACGAUCUGUAGCUGGUCUGAGAGGACGACCCGCCACCCUGGAACCGGGACACGGGCAAGACUCCUACGGGAGGCAGCAGUGGGGAAUUGUGGACAAGGGGCGAAAGCCUGAUCCAGCCAUUCCGCGUGCAGGAUGGAGGCCCUCGGGUUGUAAACUGCUUUUGUACAGAACGAAAAGGUUUCUACUAAUACUAGGAGCUCAUGACGGUACUGUAAGAAUAAGCACCGGCUAACUACGUGCCAGCCGCCGCGGUAA